UACACUCCUGCGGGAGGCAGCAGUGAGGAAUAUUGGACAAUGGGUGGAAGCCUGAUCCAGCCAUCCCGCGUGCAGGAAGACGGCCCUAUGGGUUGUAAACUGCUUUUAUCUGGGGAUAAACCUACUUACGUGUAAGUAGCUGAAGGUACCAGAAGAAUAAGCACCGGCUAACUCCGUGCCAGCAGCCGCGGUAAUACGGAGGGUGCAAGCGUUAUCCGGAUUUAUUGGGUUUAAAGGGUCCGUAGGCGGACUGAUAAGUCAGUGGUGAAAUCCGACAGCUUAACUGUCGAACUGCCAUUGAUACUGUUAGUCUUGAGUAAGGUUGAAGUGGCUGGAAUAAGUAGUGUAGCGGUGAAAUGCAUAGAUAUUACUUAGAACACCAAUUGCGAAGGCAGGUCACUAAGUCUUAACUGACGCUGAUGGACGAAAGCGUGGGGAGCGAACAGGAUUAGAAACCCGUGUAGUCCCAUGA
This 472-nucleotide ribosomal RNA is filed under the name uncultured organism. Its description in RNAcentral is "partial 16S ribosomal RNA". It matches the Rfam family "Bacterial small subunit ribosomal RNA", at positions 332 to 800 of the family's 1533-position model. The record is from RNAcentral.